AAUUUCUUGUCCACACGACCUAAGACACGGGCGUGUGUCCCAGUCGUGUGUGACACACAACCAUGUGACACGGUUGUGUGUCCCUUGUAGGUUUUAAAUGGUACAAUUUAGGAAGUUAGAUGGCCUAGCACACGGCCUGACACACGAGCGUGUGAAGCCAUUUCAAAAGUUACACGACUUGGCACACUGGCGUGUGGCUUGGCCGUGUGACCCAAGUCAGAGAGUUACACGGGUUGGGACACAACUAUGUGUCCUUAUUUUGAAUGUUACACGGC
This 275-nucleotide long non-coding RNA is filed under the name Gossypium barbadense (sea-island cotton). RNAcentral's name for it is "long non-coding RNA (GBAR_LNC014351)". The record is from RNAcentral. Lineage: Eukaryota; Viridiplantae; Streptophyta; Magnoliopsida; Malvales; Malvaceae.